This 423-nucleotide ribosomal RNA is filed under the name uncultured bacterium. RNAcentral's name for it is "bacterial SSU rRNA". It matches the Rfam family "Bacterial small subunit ribosomal RNA", at positions 207 to 622 of the family's 1533-position model. The record is from RNAcentral.
AAGACCUUGCGCUUUUGGAGCGGCCGAKGUCUGAUUAGCUUGUUGGUGAGGUAAAAGCUUACCAAGGCUUCGAUCAGUAGCUGGUCUGAGAGGACGACCAGCCACACUGGGACUGAGACACGGCCCAGACUCCUACGGGAGGCAGCAGUGGGGAAUUUUGGACAAUGGGGGCAACCCUGAUCCAGCCAUGCCGCGUGAGUGAAGAAGGCCUUCGGGUUGUAAAGCUCUUUCAGCCGGAACGAAACGGUUACGGUUAAUACCCGUGAUUACUGACGGUACCGGAAGAAGAAGCACCGGCUAACUACGUGCCAGCAGCCGCGGUAAUACGUAGGGUGCGAGCGUUAAUCGGAAUUACUGGGCGUAAAGCGUGCGCAGGUGGUUUUGUAAGUCAGAUGUGAAAGCCCCGGGCUCAACCUGGGAACU